UUUCACAAGUCAUAUCUGUUGUUAGGCACCUUAUUGCCAAAAUCUUCAUAAAAUUUAUUUGAAUUUCUUGUGCACAGUAUGCUACAACUGACAACGCUGGAGUCUGGCCUAACAGAUGCUUUUCUAAAGAGUGGCGUUCACUUGAAAAUCAGAAGAGGUCUGUAAGUUCACAUGAUGUGUGGAUAAGUAUGUGACCACACACUGAGGAGGAGCUGGUGCUCAGGGAGCAAUGCGUCGCAAAACACUUUCAAAGAAUCCCUGUGGUAAGCGGCUUUCAACCUUCAAGAGUUUUCGGAUAAGUAAAAUCCAAAGAAGAUGAAAGGUGACAAAUGUAAAGUUAGCAAUUUUUGUGAGUAUAAACACAAUCAAAAACACCACGAAGUGGAGAGGAGUGUCAGCUUAGUGAAAGGUUGGCUUACUGAUGAAAUUUCCCUUUGGUAAAUUCAUUUUAAUUAUAAAUAAAUUUUUGAAGUUUUUUUAAUUUACCUCCUAUAUUAUGUGAUCUUGAUGUAGAUCAUUUAUGACCAAUAGUGAUAUAUUUGUCCUCUAAAAGGCUGAAUAUUUAGCUUAAGCUAGCUUCUGCAUUCAUGUUGUGUCCGGAAAUGCAAAUGAACAUAGACUAAAACAGAAUGUGUUGUGAAAUGAUGUGAAUUUUUUUAGUGAUAAGAACAUGUAUGAUGUUUCAAUCAGUUUUCACAAUAGUAGCUUCCCAUAGCCUCAUACAGCAUCCUAGACAUCCCAGUAUGUUUAUUUGGGCAGCUAUUUCAUGACGUAUAGGUGAAUACUAGCAGAAUCGAUUUUUUUUCAUUAAUGUUCUUGAUGUCAUUCCAUUUACUGUAGUCUUCUUGAUGUACCAUUGUUAUGCCAAUGGAUAUACUGCUAGUUAGAUUCAAAGCAUGACUACCACUCUAUGACUGUAUCAGUGAAGAACAAAAUGAAAGUGAUAAAGGAUUGAGAUACAGAACUUUUACAAAACCUCUAAUAAAAAAGAUUUCCACUAGAAUGUACAAGGCUGGGAUGAGACAGACCAAUCUUAAGUUCAUAAUAUCAUGGCAGAGGAAAUAAUCUGAAGUCUUCAAAAGGUAAGAUGGAGAUCCACAGGUAUCCCAAAUGAAGGUAUGUAUCAGCCUUAUGAUAAUUUUAACAUCUUCUGUGAACCAGAUUUCGAUACAUAAUUUUUUUAUCAUAAGAUGUAAGAUCAUCAUAUGUAUACAAUAAAAUUAAAGAAUGAGUCUGAUUAAUUCUUAAUGACAAGUCUUAAAUGCAUAAUGUGUAACGAAUCCAUUCAUUAUCUCCUAGUCGUGUCCAGUUUCACAUGAAUAAUUGCAGAUGAAUGACCCUGAAGAACAGCUGCUGCUUUUUGUCAUUCCUCCAUCUUCUCUUCCUAUGUCAGUGGUCUAUCUGUAGUGCAGCCAAUCCAGGCUAGAAGUUUGGAACUUUCAAAGCUGUACAUUCGGUGUGUUUAUGGCAUCCAUUCCCCGCUGCAGAUUGAAGUUUUCUAGCAGCCCUGCAUCAAGGAGUUAACACCACUUUCUGAAAAAUAAUGAAUUUUUAAAUUAAGUGUUCUGGAGCAACCAACAAUACCUCUGAAGUAUGCCUAUACAUCCAAUUAAUACUAGUCUGAAUUGAGACUGGAGGUUUAAGUAAGUCAUUCAUGGAAAGGUAAAGGAAAAAAGCAUUCCCGGAAAAAGGCAUAGCUUGUGAAAAGUCAUGGAAUAAUGGAUGGCACAUGCUAUUUUCUUUUUUUUAAUGAG
Molecule: non-coding RNA, 1754 nt
Organism: Ictidomys tridecemlineatus (thirteen-lined ground squirrel)
Lineage: Eukaryota; Metazoa; Chordata; Mammalia; Rodentia; Sciuridae
Source: RefSeq, a predicted model, not a curated record